UACGUAGGGACCAAGCGUUGUUCGGAUUUACUGGGCGUAAAGCGCACGUAGGCGGAUUUGUAGGUCAGGGGUGAAAUCCCGGGGCUCAACCUCGGAACUGCCUUUGAUACUGCGAAUCUUGAGUCCGAUAGAGGUGGGUGGAAUUCCCAGUGUAGAGGUGAAAUUCGUAGAUAUUGGGAGGAACACCGGUGGCGAAGGCGACCACCUGGACGGAGAUUGACGCUGAGGCGCGAAAGCGUGGGUAGCAAACAGG
RNAcentral lists this ribosomal RNA (253 nucleotides) under uncultured bacterium. RNAcentral describes it as "partial 16S ribosomal RNA". It matches the Rfam family "Bacterial small subunit ribosomal RNA", at positions 524 to 776 of the family's 1533-position model. The record is from RNAcentral.